RNAcentral lists this ribosomal RNA (253 nucleotides) under uncultured bacterium. Its description in RNAcentral is "partial 16S ribosomal RNA". It matches the Rfam family "Bacterial small subunit ribosomal RNA", at positions 524 to 776 of the family's 1533-position model. The record is from RNAcentral.
UACGUAGGGGGCAAGCGUUGUCCGGAUUUAUUGGGCGUAAAGAGCGUGUAGGCGGCUGGGUAGGUCCGUUGUGAAAACUCGAGGCUCAACCUCGAGACGCCGAUGGAAACCCCCCAGCUAGAGUCCGGAAGAGGAGAGUGGAAUUCCUGGUGUAGCGGUGAAAUGCGCAGAUAUCAGGAAGAACACCCGUGGCUAAGGCGGCUCUCUAGUACGGUACUGACGCUGAGACGCGAAAGCGUGGGGAGCAAACAGG